AUGCGAUAAGUAAUGUGAAUUGCAGAAUUCAGUGAAUCAUCGAAUCUUUGAACGCACCUUGCGCUCCUUGGUAUUCCGAGGAGCAUGCCUGUUUGAGUGUCAUAAAUCUCUCAGCUCCCCUCCAGUUUUGUCUGGUAGGAUGGGUUGGAUCAUGGGGGGGAAAACUUUGUCGGCUCCAUUGCGAAUCGACUCCCCUGAAAAGCAUUAGUAGUCCGUGCUGUCUGCCGCCGGUGUGAUAAUAAUCUUUAUGCCGCCUGGUCCAGCAUACACGUUGUCUGCUCCAAACAGUCCGAGCACAAUCUCGGACAUCACAAUUUUAUUUUGACCACUUGACCUCAAAUCAGGUAGGACUACCCGCUGAACUUAA
Molecule: unclassified non-coding RNA, 367 nt
Filed under: uncultured Volvopluteus
Lineage: Eukaryota; Fungi; Basidiomycota; Agaricomycetes; Agaricales; Pluteaceae
Description: partial contains 5.8S ribosomal RNA, internal transcribed spacer 2, and large subunit ribosomal RNA
Rfam family: 5.8S ribosomal RNA (bases 1-102)
Source: RNAcentral